Molecule: ribosomal RNA, 228 nt
Filed under: uncultured bacterium
Lineage: Bacteria
Description: partial 16S ribosomal RNA
Rfam family: Bacterial small subunit ribosomal RNA
Source: RNAcentral
CGGGUGAGUAAUGUCUGGGAAACUGCCUGAUGGAGGGGGAUAACUGCUGGAAACGGUAGCUAAUACCGCAUAACGUCGCAAGACCAAAGAGGGGGACCUUCGGGCCUCUUGCCAUCGGAUGUGCCCAGAUGGGAUUAGCUAGUAGGUGGGGUAACGACUCACCUAGGCGACGAUCCCUAGCUGGUCUGAGAGGAUGACCAGCCACACUGGAACUGAGACACGGUCCAG